RNAcentral lists this long non-coding RNA (607 nucleotides) under Malus domestica (apple). RNAcentral's name for it is "long non-coding RNA (MDOM_LNC013961)". Lineage: Eukaryota; Viridiplantae; Streptophyta; Magnoliopsida; Rosales; Rosaceae. The record is from RNAcentral.
UAAAGUCCAAGGAAUAUGUGAUUGGGAGAAUGCAAUCUAAUGAAGUUAGAUUCAUGAGACCAUUCUUUCAUAGACACAUCCUAAAUGUUCCUGAUCAUAGGAUUGUCAAUUGGGCAUUGACAGUCCGUCAAGAUCGGUACGUGCUAUGUCUUCUCUCAGGGAGAGUGACUAGUCUCGAGUCAUUGGUGUGUGUAACAUCAAGACAAGUACGUAGGUGCUCAGUAGAGAAUGAGUUCACUGAACACGAUCAACGAAGAGUUCUCAUACUCAUGUCACAUGAAAACUCAUGGUUGGGAUAAUGCAAAGUAGUCCUUUGACCUGAGGCAUCACAGUUGUCUUGUGGUUAAGUCCUUGAUCUUUGAUUAUGUCAAACGUCAUUCCAUUGGAGUGUCCACGACAUCGUUGGGGUUAAGCCACUUAGCCAUGGAGGCAAGUGAAUGCGCAACAAGGGAUCUCUAACCUUCAAACUGUUUGAGGGAGAAUACUCUAUGAUAUGAUUAGAAUCUCUGGCCAGAGUAUGAAUGAGAUUUGGGAAUGCGUUCCGAAUCACAUUCAAGGAAAUCAUAUAAGCACAUGAAUCACAUUAGAUAGUAGACAUGAAUAAAUA